This 253-nucleotide ribosomal RNA is filed under the name uncultured bacterium. RNAcentral's name for it is "partial 16S ribosomal RNA". It matches the Rfam family "Bacterial small subunit ribosomal RNA", at positions 524 to 776 of the family's 1533-position model. The record is from RNAcentral.
GACGAAGGUGGCAAGCGUUAUUCGAAAUCACUGGGCUUAAAGGGCGCGUAGGCGGAUAUAUAAGUGUCUUGUGAAAUCCCCCGGCUUAACCGGGGAAUUGCUUGGCAAACUAUAUAUCUUGAGUCAAGUAGGGGUGUGUGGAACUCUUGGUGGAGCGGUGGAAUGCGUAGAUAUCAAGAGGAACGCCGAAGGUGAAGACAGCACACUGGACUUGUACUGACGCUGAGGCGCGAAAGCGUGGGGAGCGAACAGG